Molecule: long non-coding RNA, 1082 nt
Organism: Canis lupus familiaris (dog)
Lineage: Eukaryota; Metazoa; Chordata; Mammalia; Carnivora; Canidae
Exons: 3
Source: RefSeq, a predicted model, not a curated record
UUGUGGGGAGACACGACUCUCUUAGGAGGCAGUUAACCACAAUGUCGCUGGCCAGGGAGCCCAGAGCCCGGACACUGGGGUUCUUACUCCCAGCUCAGCCACUCACCAGCUAUGGCGAAUAGAAAAACCAUCUUACUUCUCUGGGCCUCAGUUCCUUACAGAGGAGAAAACCAAGACUCACGUUGCAGUAAAUGAUGGAACCUGGAUUCUAAACAGAUACCGAGGGUUUCCAGAGACCUCAGGACAUCCUGGGAUUGCCAAGGACUCCCUGCCAUGAUACCCUUUCAGACCUGCUGGUGUAGUGCACUCCUCCGAACAUCAGCCUUCUCACCUGUGCCUUUUUCUCAUCAUAUUUUUAAAAAGAUUUAUAUAUUAUUUAUUUGAGGGGAGAGGUGCAGAGGGGAGAGAGAGAGAGAAUCCCAAGGAGACUCUUCACUGAGCAGGGAGCCCAGAUGCAGGGCCCGAUCUUAGGACCCUGAGAUCAAACCUCAUGCUGAGUCCCAGUCCCUCCUCUAAUUGUUAGCUCUGAGAAAACAAUCCUGUCUCCCUCAAAAUUAAAAAAACAACAACAACUGCUGUGCUUCAAAAGACAAGAUUACCAGAGUGAAAAGGCAACCCAUGAAAUGAGAGAAAAAAAUGUGUAAACCGUGCAUCUGAUAAGGGAUGAGUAGCCAGAAUAUAUAAAGAACACUUAUAACUCAAAAUCUAAAGAGGAAAGAACUGAGUUUUAAAAUAGGCAAAUGACUUUAAUAGCUGUUUCUCCAGAGAAGACAUAUAAAUGGCCAAUAAGUACGUGAAAAGUUCCUCACGAUAACCAGGCAUUAGGGAAAUUAAAAUCAAAAACCACAAUGGGAUACCACUUUAUCCAUUAUGAUGGCCCACUGUAAAUAACAACAAUGACAGAGAAUGCCAAGCAUUGACUAGGGUGUGGAGAACCUGGAACCAUUAUAUACACCACUGUUGAAAAGGCAAAAUGAUGGGGCAGCCGUGGAAAAUGAUAUGGUGAAUCUUCAAAAAAUUAAACAUAAAAUUACCAGGAGGAGGUGCCUGGGUGGCUCAGUAGGUUAGGCAGCAGACUCUUG